This 1560-nucleotide ribosomal RNA is filed under the name Chrotopterus auritus. RNAcentral's name for it is "16S ribosomal RNA". It matches the Rfam family "Bacterial large subunit ribosomal RNA", at positions 437 to 2925 of the family's 2925-position model. The record is from RNAcentral. Lineage: Eukaryota; Metazoa; Chordata; Mammalia; Chiroptera; Phyllostomidae.
GCUGAAUCUAGCCCAUAAAGGACAAAACAUAACUACGACCCCUAACUAAAACAAAACAUUUACCCCACCUUUAAAAGUAUAGGAGAUAGAAAUUUUAAUCGGCGCUAUAGAGAAAGUACCGCAAGGGAAACAUGAAAGAAGCAAACCAAAGCACCAAACAGCAAAGAUUACCCCUUGUACCUUUCGCAUAAUGCUUUAACUAGAACAACCUGGCAAAGAGAACUUAAGUCAAUGGCCCCGAAACCAGACGAGCUAUUCAUGAGCAGCCCCAAGAGCAAACUCGUCUAUGUAGCAAAAUAGUGAGAAGACUUAUGACUAGAGGUGACAAGCCUACCGAGCCUGGUGAUAGCUGGUUGUCCAGAAAAGAAUAUUAGUUCGACCUUAAGCCUGCCUAACAAAUCUCACAAUUUUACUGUAGGCCUAAGAGAUAGUCUAAAGGGGGGCAGCCCUUUAGACCCAGGAUACAACCUUGCCUAGAGAGUAAAUAUACUAGUAAUCCAUAGUUGGCUUAAAAGCAGCCACCAAUAAAGAAAGCGUUCAAGCUCAACAACUACCCCUCCCCAAUUACAAUAGUAACUAUAAACUCCUAGCACAAAACUGGACCAUUCUAUAAUCAUAUAGAAGAAAUACUGUUAAUAUGAGUAACAAGAAUCUAAUUCUCCUCGCACAAGCCUAUAUCAGAACGGAUAACCACUGAUAGUUAACGCAUGCAAAGCAAGCCUAACCCAAGCCCUUUGCCCCCCCCCCCGUUAGCCCAACACAGGUGUGCCUCAAAGGAAAGAUUAAAGGGAGUAAAAGGAACUCGGCAAACACAAACCCCGCCUGUUUACCAAAAACAUCACCUCCAGCAUUCCCAGUAUUGGAGGCACUGCCUGCCCAGUGACAUACGUUCAACGGCCGCGGUAUCCUGACCGUGCAAAGGUAGCAUAAUCACUUGUUCUCUAAAUAAGGACUUGUAUGAACGGCCACACGAGGGUUUUUCUGUCUCUUACUCCAAAUCAGUGAAAUUGACCUCCCCGUGAAGAGGCGGGGAUGCCACAAUAAGACGAGAAGACCCUAUGGAGCUUUAACUAGUUAACCUAGAAAGACUUUUCACUGCCAAAAGGCAUUAAAUCUCUUUAAACAGGUUAAUAAUUUAGGUUGGGGUGACCUCGGAGUAUAAGACACCCUCCGAGCAAAUACAACUUAGACCUACCAGUCAAAGUCGCAUUAUCACAAUUGAUCCAAAAUUUUUGAUCAACGGAACAAGUUACCCUAGGGAUAACAGCGCAAUCCUAUUCAAGAGUCCAUAUCGACAAUAGGGUUUACGACCUCGAUGUUGGAUCAGGACAUCCUAAUGGUGCAGCAGCUAUUAAGGGUUCGUUUGUUCAACGAUUAAAGUCCUACGUGAUCUGAGUUCAGACCGGAGUAAUCCAGGUCGGUUUCUAUCUAUUCCGUGUUUCUCCCAGUACGAAAGGAUAAGAGAAACAAGGCCUCCUCGUUCCUAAGCGCCUUACAGUUUAACAGAUGACAUAGUCUUAAUCUAACAGACGGCCCCCAUACCACCCCCAGACCAGGGCU